RNAcentral lists this ribosomal RNA (122 nucleotides) under Petromyzon marinus (sea lamprey). The record is from RNAcentral. Lineage: Eukaryota; Metazoa; Chordata; Hyperoartia; Petromyzontiformes; Petromyzontidae.
UAGUAUGACCAAGUCACCCUGAAUGUGCCUAAUCUUGUCGGAUCUCAGAAGCCAAGCAGUAAUGCGCUUGGUUAUUACUUGGAUGAGUGACCACCACCAGAACUUACCAAGUGGUAUAGGCA